This 90-nucleotide ribosomal RNA is filed under the name Pseudobutyrivibrio sp. 49. Its description in RNAcentral is "16S rRNA. Bacterial SSU". It matches the Rfam family "Bacterial small subunit ribosomal RNA", at positions 1 to 88 of the family's 1533-position model. The record is from RNAcentral. Lineage: Bacteria; Bacillati; Bacillota; Clostridia; Lachnospirales; Lachnospiraceae.
UUAAACAUGAGAGUUUGAUCCUGGCUCAGGAUGAACGCUGGCGGCGUGCUUAACACAUGCAAGUCGAACGAAGCAGUUUAUCACGAUCCC